Molecule: long non-coding RNA, 241 nt
Filed under: Panax ginseng (ginseng)
Lineage: Eukaryota; Viridiplantae; Streptophyta; Magnoliopsida; Apiales; Araliaceae
Description: long non-coding RNA (PGIN_LNC005589)
Source: RNAcentral
CAACCUGAAGGCUCAGGCACGAACAAAGGAAAAAGGAAAGCUGAUUGAAUAAGUGUGUAUUAUGAGUUAAUGGUUAUAGUUGUAUUGGUAUCUAUUCAAGUAUUGUAAGGAAUGUAUUUGAAGGCCACGUACCUGGGGAAGUAAACUUUGAUGUAUGUAAAUUAAGUUCGAAUGUAUUAUUAUUUAGUAUUAUUUAGCUUAAAGAAAUGGUAUCGUGGGGAACCGAGUUCGGGUUUCAAGU